RNAcentral lists this transfer RNA (63 nucleotides) under Mutilla europaea. RNAcentral describes it as "tRNA-Cys". Lineage: Eukaryota; Metazoa; Arthropoda; Insecta; Hymenoptera; Mutillidae. The record is from RNAcentral.
AAUUUUAUAGUUUAUUAAGAAUAAUAAGUUGCAAUCUUAGGGGUUCCUACAAGGAUAAAAUUU